AAUCAACGUUGGCGGCGCGCCUAACACAUGCAAGUCGAACGAGAAAGUGGAGCAAUCCAUGAGUAAAGUGGCGUACGGGUGAGUAACACGUGGGUAAUCUACCUCUUGGUGGGGAAUAACGCUGGGAAACUGGCGCUAAUACCGCAUAAGUUCGUGAGAAGAAAGUCGCAAGACGCCGAGAGAGGAGCCCGCGGCCGAUUAGCUAGUUGGUAGGGUAAAAGCCUACCAAGGCUAUGAUCGGUAGCCGGCCUGAGAGGGCACACGGCCACACUGGCACUGAAACACGGGCCAGACUCCUACGGGAGGCAGCAGUGGGGAAUCUUGCACAAUGGGGGAAACCCUGAUGCAGCGACGCCGCGUGAGUGAUGAAGCCCUUCGGGGGUGUAAAGCUCUUUCGACAGGAACGAUAAUGACGGUACCUGGAGAAGAAGCUGCGGCUAACUACGUGCCAGCAGCCGCGGUAAU
RNAcentral lists this ribosomal RNA (465 nucleotides) under uncultured bacterium. RNAcentral describes it as "bacterial SSU rRNA". It matches the Rfam family "Bacterial small subunit ribosomal RNA", at positions 32 to 524 of the family's 1533-position model. The record is from RNAcentral.